Molecule: unclassified non-coding RNA, 282 nt
Filed under: plant metagenome
Description: partial contains small subunit ribosomal RNA and internal transcribed spacer 1
Rfam family: Eukaryotic small subunit ribosomal RNA (bases 1-53)
Source: RNAcentral
GGAGUAAAAGUCGUAACAAGGUCUCCGUUGGUGAACCAGCGGAGGGAUCAUUAGAGGGAGGCCGCGAGGCCUGAAAAAACCCCAAACAACCUCGAGAACUCUACCAAGACGGUUGCUUCGGCGGGCGACCCCAGGGCGGGGUCGUCCGACCGCCCCCGCCGCCUCCGGGCGGCGGUGGCGGGCGGCCCGCCGGAGGUUCUUUUAAAAACCUUCUAUUAUGUAAUACUGUCUGAGCGCCGUGGGAAACAAUAAAAACUCUCAGCAACGGAUCUCUUGGCUCCG